Molecule: RNA transcript, 3400 nt
Organism: Lates calcarifer (barramundi perch)
Lineage: Eukaryota; Metazoa; Chordata; Actinopteri; Centropomidae
Exons: 3
Source: RefSeq, a predicted model, not a curated record
GGAGGGAGAGUAAGAAGUUGGGCUAUAAAAGGAGGGUUCUGCAGGUCUUCACAUCUUCUCAGAUCUGCAGAUCUCCUCUCACACGGUCGAUUAAAAAAAGUCUGUUUUUCUCUGUGUUUAUGAUGCGGCUUUAUAGAGCUCUGAUCCUGUUAAUGAUUCUGUCCACAGCAUGUGGAUUAAGAUGCUACUCAUGUGUAACCACCAACCCCAAAGCCUGCACACGCAUCUCGCUUUGUCCUGGACCCUUGGAUCGCUGUUUUUCCACCAUGGUGGAUGGUCAUAUCACUAAGGGUUGUCGAAGAAAUCAGUACUGUAUAAAACCCAUUUCUUGCUGUGGGGAUGACUUGUGUAACAGUGCCAUACCCGCCAGCGGCAGUGUCAUCCUCCUGCUGGUGUCCUCAGCCAUCACCACACUGUUUCUCUGAGGCUCUGCAACAGCUACAGCUGAGAAUAUUUUACUUCUUUUCUUACUAAAUUUGUAUUACUCAAGAACAAUAACAUAUUAAGCCGCAUAACUAAAUGAAUUAAAACCACAAUAUGAUCGACAAUUAAUUUGUUUAAUUCCUGUUCUUCCUGUUAUAUCACUAUUUACAGCUAUUUUCUAUUGGUUUUUAAUGUGUUAGGGUUAGGGUUAAGGUUACUUUUUACACUUAUCACUGCAAAAUGCUCAUGUCUUUCUGUCAGACUUAUAAACUAGAUCAACUACUGUGAGAAAAUUAAUUGCCCCAGUAUUUUAACAUUGAUAAUGUUUUAUCAUUUGUACAUAGAUUUUAAAAUGCCCAAUGCAAAAUAUCAGAUUUUACUGUAGUUAUCAGUUCUAUUAAGUGAACAUUAGUAGUCACAGCUGUGAGGAAAAAACCCUAUUCUCUCUUUAUUUACUUACUGAACCCCUAUGUGAAUUCAGGUGAUGAUGCUCUAUAAUAUCUUUUACGUGCACACAGAGAAUACAGUCACACACAACCUUUAGGUAAAUGUGAAAGUCCCAUUCUAUCUCUAAUACAGACAGUCCUCUCUUUUGCAACAUUUUAGAUAUACAGAGAUACAAAACACCAGACCAAAGUCAACUGAUUGGGACCUGAGACACUCAUAUCCAACCAUUUCCCAGAAAAAGAUGCUUCACCCCAUCUGUGAACAUACAAGCCAGGACAUCUUGACACAGCCAAGAACAAAGUCAGGAAGUCAGAUUACAAAGGCGAAAACACUUCUUUUUGAUCACAAAUCAUCAUUUCCUCCUCCAUAAAGCCUCAUUUGUAUCACAACAAAGAGAUUUAAUCUGCAGUAUGAAUCAAGGACUUCUUAAUAUACCACCGAGUCUGUAAUUUGCCCUCGAAAGCCAAAAAAAGGAGCAUAGAUCUAAAUUAAAGCUCUUAUGUCCUCAAAGGUCAGUGCAUUUCUUGUCAACAAAUUUGAACUUCUGUAACACAGCUUGCACACAACAAUGGCAAGACACAAGCAUAACUUGUUAAAUGUUAAGUGUCCAUAAAUACAGACUAUACACAUGCUUGUAAGCUGAAAUACCAAUACAUACUAAUCAGCUCCAUCUCAGAUACAAUGCUGUCUGCAGUGCAUAUAUUUUAUAGGCUGGUAGUUCACAUUCAAACAAAUAUCUGAGUAAUGUUUUUUGAACACACAUGAAGAUGGUAUAUCGACAAGUGGUUAAAAUUAUACUGACGACGACGUGUUUAACUAGCUAACACUGACGUUAGCCACCACGGUAGUUAACGUUAAUGUAGCUAGCUAACAUUCACGUUAGUUUGUUAGUUAGAAGUGAUUUUCAACGAGUGAACCAUGACCCAACACCAAUCCACACAGUUUAGAGUCGUCACUAUUUUUCCACCCUCCGUCUAUCAGCACUGGACACUUUGCUGACCCUCCUAAACACAUACCUCCAAAUAGCAUAUCUCCACCGCCAGCCACCAAAAAUACAAAAUUAGACAGUUACACAUUUAAAUAAGUUCAUUUUUCAGUUUCAUUUCUCUCUGUCUGUCCCCAUACAUUCACCGGGACAGGUGUUAAAUCACAAAAACAGAAGUGGAAUUAAGUAAAUUAAUGCUUAUUUUAUCUGUUUAAUUUUCAUUUUGAGAUGUUACUAUGACUAAAUGCAUUUCUUGGAAGUAAGUCCCUCACCAGUCAAACGUGUUUUUCUUAUUGUUGCUUCACUUGGAUGUUUGAGCUUCACUUCACUUCAGUUCUUCUGUUAGAGGGAAAAAGUUUCUCUGUGCUCACCUUAAAUCUCUACAAUAUACCCAAAUAUGAUGUGGAAACAUACAAUGGACUUUUCAGUGAAGUAGGACACAUCCUGUAUCCAUAAUCAUAGAUUCUGGAUUUUUGAAUAAGUGACAAUAAUAUGGAAAAUAAUAUAACACCCAGCGUCUCGAGAUAACAGCGUCUCGAGAUAACUUCUGUUGUGAAUUGGCGCUAUAUAAAUAAAAUUUGACUUGACUUGAAUAAAUUAUAUUAAAAAGUUUAUUUUUAUGUCUGGAAAGGAUGUGUCCAAGUGAGUUUCCUCUAACCCACCCACACUAUGUAUAUGGGUCUUCCAUAUUGUUGAAAAGCGUAAGAGAGAGACCAUGUGCAUAAACAGUAUGUACAGAAAGACAGACAGCCAUGUAAGAGAAAUUUGUGCAGAGCUGGAAUGAAGUGAAGGGCGUGUUUUUUUCAUCCAGCUUUUUUUUUUUUUUUUUUUUUUUUUUUGUGGCUGACAGCAGAGAUAUGCUACUCUGAGGUAUAUAGUUGGGAGGGGCAGUAAGGUGUUCACUGCUGAUAGUCAGAGGGAGGAUGGUCAGUUUUGAUACUCUGCAAAAAAAAAAAAAAAAAAAAAAAUGACAUGUGGCUAAACUAAAAGCAAAUUUCUGAUCAGACCAUCACUGCUGGUGCUGGCAGGAGGUUGGCAGAUGUAUGUCGGGGGUCAGGGUGGGGCCACACAUGUAGCACUAUCCCAAGCAUUUACAGUGAAGUGUACUUGGGUGCCAGUAGUGUAUCUUUGCGUCCCAUAGUCAACACUGCAUAGACUGGUACAGGGUCUCGACCCAGUCAUUGGAAAUCACUGCAUUAGAGGAGCAGUUAAACUGUUGUUUUAGAGUGCAGUGAGCCACAGUGUGUCAUAAAAUACAAUUUAAUAAUGUUAGGAGUAGCUCAUGUCACACUUUCUGCCCUGGAGUAGUAUAGGUAUCUACUAAGCUUUUCAGUCAUGUUUGAAGGAUGAAGCAGGACAUGAUUUGCCUAAGCUAUGCAUAAGACUACUCCAGGUACUGAUGCUUUCUUAACAGAGAACAUAAGACAUGUACUUAAUAGAUGCUGUAACACACACAAAAAAAAUUGAACUUAUUUUUAAUUGUUGUUGCAUGUGCACAAAAACCUGCUGCCCAGCUGGAUGAACAAUAAAGAAUAUCAUGCCAAA